CAGCCCGGUAAUUCCAGCUCCAAUAGCGUAUAUUAAAGUUGUUGCAGUUAAAAAGCUCGUAGUUGAACUUCGGGGUUUACCCAUUGGUCAGGCUUAAUUGUCUGUACUGGUGAGAUAAAUCUCUACCUUCUGAGGAACUUUCAUGUCAUUAAUUUGGUGUGAUUGGAAAUCAGGACUGUUACUUUGAAAAAAUUAGAGUGUUUAAAGCAGGCUAACGUCUGAAUACAUUAGCAUGGAAUAAUGAAAUAGGACGGACUGAUUCUAUUUCGUUGGUUUCUAGGAUCACCGUAAUGAUUAAUAGGGAUAGUUGGGGGCAUUAGUAUUCAAUUGUCAGAGGUGAAAUUCUUGGAUUUAUUGAAGACUAACUACUGCGAAAGCAUUUGCCAAGGAUGUUUUCAUUAAUCAAGAACGAAAGUUAGGGGAUCGAAGACGAUCAGAUACCGUCGUAGUCUUAACCAUAAACUAUGCCGACUAGGGAUCGGACGAAGUUAAUUUUAUAAUGACGCGUUCGGCACCUUACG
Molecule: unclassified non-coding RNA, 521 nt
Filed under: uncultured Glomeromycotina
Lineage: Eukaryota; Fungi; Glomeromycota
Description: SSU rRNA
Rfam family: Eukaryotic small subunit ribosomal RNA
Source: RNAcentral